UACGUAGGUGGCAAGCGUUGUCCGGAAUUACUGGGUGUAAAGGGAGCGCAGGCGGGAAGCCAAGUCAGCUGUGAAAACUACGGGCUUAACUUGUAGACUGCAGUUGAAACUGGUUUUCUUGAGUGAAGUAGAGGUUGGCGGAAUUCCAUGUGUAGCGGUGAAAUGCGUAGAUAUAUGGAGGAACACCGGUGGCGAAAGCGGCUCUCUGGCCUGUAACUGACACUGAGGCUCGAAAGCGUGGGGAGCAAACAGG
Molecule: ribosomal RNA, 253 nt
Filed under: uncultured bacterium
Lineage: Bacteria
Description: partial 16S ribosomal RNA
Rfam family: Bacterial small subunit ribosomal RNA
Source: RNAcentral